This 497-nucleotide ribosomal RNA is filed under the name uncultured bacterium. RNAcentral describes it as "partial 16S ribosomal RNA". It matches the Rfam family "Bacterial small subunit ribosomal RNA", at positions 28 to 507 of the family's 1533-position model. The record is from RNAcentral.
GAUGAACGCUGGCGGCGUGCCUAAUACAUGCAAGUCGAGCGAACAGACGAGGAGCUUGCUCCUCUGACGUUAGCGGCGGACGGGUGAGUAACACGUGGAUAACCUACCUAUAAGACUGGGAUAACUUCGGGAAACCGGAGCUAAUACCGGAUAAUAUAUUGAACCGCAUGGUUCAAUAGUGAAAGACGGUUUUGCUGUCACUUAUAGAUGGAUCCGCGCCGCAUUAGCUAGUUGGUAAGGUAACGGCUUACCAAGGCAACGAUGCGUAGCCGACCUGAGAGGGUGAUAGGCCACACUGGAACUGAGACAGGGUCCAGACUCCUACGGGAGGCAGCAGGAGGGAAUCUACCGCAAUGGGCGAAAGCCUGACGGAGCAACGCCGCGUGAGUGAUGAAGGUCUUCGGAUCGUAAAACUAUGUUAGUAGGGAAGAACAAAUGUGUAAGUAACUAUGCACGUCUUGACGGUACCUAAUCAGAAAGCCACGGCUAACUACGUG